AGUAGUAAGAGAUAAAUAGCAUGUAUCUUGGUCUAAGUACUUUUGGAUACCAGUAUGAGCUUUGAAACCAGGCAGCCUGGGUUUGAAUUCUAGGUCCACUGUGUAUUGGUGGUGUUGAAGGACCCCAAGGCCCCAGGCCCAACAUUAGGAAAACUAACCCCUGUGCCCUGAAGCUGCAAGAUGUUCCCUCACCCAACCCCCAUGUCAAAACCCCUCCAGCAGCAUGUAGCACCUCAGGUGUUGCACAAUGUUACCACAAGAUGUUCCAUGUAGAUAACCCUAACGGGCCCCCUAUCACAAGAUGUUCCUUUUAGACAGUCCUACUGGUUAAACUUGAGAACUAGGUUUAAAAACAGGAACUGAAAGGACAGAAUGCAAUUUUAUGGUUUUUCUGAGAACAAAAAGUUGAAAAACAAGUUUACCCCCCUAGGUGACUCAACUGCUGAAUUCAGAGGGACCAAUAGGAAGGCUGUUGCUGUGCUAAGCUAAGACCUAACCCACCUGUUCCAUAUAAAAGAUCUAUACCCCAAAGCCCGGUGUGCCAGCUCAUCGAAGCUCCGGCUGAGGUUUUGCUGUGCACCCGCAGGCGCCUGUGUGAGAAUAAACGCCUCCUGCUUUUUGCAGCCAGUGUCUCGUGUGGUUCAUUCCGGGUUUGGGAUCUGUGGAUAUUUCAUUGUGGAGGUUCCACCGAGAUCCAAGAUCCCGGUUCCGGUUCGAUCCCGGUCCCUAUCCGGAGGACACCCGACAUCACUGGGAGGUAUACAAGUCUGUAAGGUAAAAGCUUCAAAAGAACAUUAUAUCAAGCUGGUGUUCUAAAGUUGUAUGGUAAUUUUAGGCUUAAAAAAAAAAUGUUAAAAAUUCCAUUAUAUCAUUUGUGUUCUAUAACUGAACUUGUUAUCAAUAAGAUAUGUACAGUUCCAUGUUACUUUCUACUCUAAGAUACAAUUUAUGUAUUUUUAAGUUAAUAAGAGCCUAAUCUGUGUGAAGGUUUAAUUGCAAAACACAAAAGUACAUUACUACUUUUCUACAAGAAGUUAAAAGCUUUCAGCCUUUAAUUCAUAUUUUAGGUGUGAUAUUAUGUUGUGUUAGCUAAUGUUCAUGUAAACUUGAACAACAAUUUAUGUAAACUUUGUAAAAUGAUCAGCUUCAGAACUAUAGUACUUGAGAUUUAUAAAGAGCCCUGCCUUACUUGAGAUAAGGCUCUGUCCCAUCUCACUACAUGUGAAAAUGGCUAUAAAAAAAGUAAGCCAGAUUUCAGUACAGUUAAAGUUGUGUCCAAAAGUAGGUUUUUGCCAAGAUUACUAGGAUCUCAAACAGGAAAUUAUGAUGUAUAACCUUGCCAGAAUUCAAGGUAGCUAUUAUAUAAGCUAAAUAUGUUUUUACCCUAGUUAGUUUUGUUUUGUAGUUUGCUUAUAGAUGGUUUAAGGAUUGCCUAUUAAUAUUCUAAAGAGGUAUUGCUUUAAGAACACAACCUGGGUCAACAUAAGAUAAAGAGUUAUCACCUACAGGAUAGAGAGAUAGACAUUAAAGCCCAGUGCUCUUAAUAUAAGGCUGUUAACUUAUUUGCUGGAUGUUUAAGAUCAAGUUUUUAAAAUUAGUUAAAUUAAAAGGGCCAAGAAAACCAAUAUUUGGCUCUUGCCCUCUGAGUCAGUCUGAAUCAGGGAAUAGGGGACUUCUCCAAAGGGCUCAGCAACUCUAGGCCACAUAACCUCCUGAGCAGGGAGAUUAAUGAGACCAGUGGAGGACAGAAAGCCAAAUGGUGCAUUUGCUGUAAAGAGGAGGGUCAUUAAAAAAGGGAGACAUCCCUGAUGCUUCUGAGGGAAGCCAUAUGGUCAAACAAGGCCUGGACCCAUCCUAGCGCAAAUGGCACUAGCAGAACUGAAAAACUGCUAUGAAGUUCCCGAGGACUCCCAGGAUAACUCAGCUGACUGUAAACAAUAGGUAGAAACAAAAGUCAGUUUGACUUGCUUCAUCUUAAACACUUAGCAAAGACAGUCAAAGCCAAAGCACAGCUGUUCCUGGACAUCUUAAAUAAUAAUAAUAAUUAAAUGUAACUUCCAUAAAUAAAUAGACUGGAGGCUACAAGAGAGAUUCUUAGACAGAAAUGCCUGAUAACUGUCAAAGGAACUACUAGAAUAGUUUUAGUCUAAGGCUUUUAUUUCUAGACAACACAGGUAGACUUGAUGUUUGCUAAUAUGGUUAUCCAGCCCUAAGUAGCAGAAUUAAAGAUUUCUCUAUUAGACACAGAGGAAAAACAAAAGGCUCUUUUGGAAGCUCGCAAAAAUGUGCCAGGGGACGACGGGCGCCCCACCCAACUCACAAAUUUGAUUAACGAAGCUUUUCCUUUAACCCGGCCAAACUGGGACUAUGCGACUGAAGCAGGUGAGAACCACCUACAUCUCUAUCGCCAGUUACUCAUAGCGGGUCUCCAUGGAGCAGGGGGGUCUCCAUGGAGCAGGGCGACAGCCCACCAAUUUGGCUCAGGUAAGACAGACUAUCCAGGGGUCAGAGGAAACUCCGACAGCCUUCUUAGAGAAAUUAAAAGAGGCUUAUCGGAGGUUUACUCCCUUUGAUCCUGAUAAUGAGGACCAAAAAAAAAACAUUUAAUGGGCCUGCCUUCGUCUCCCAGGUAAGUCAGGCGGUAGCCAAUACAUUGGAGAUUAAUUAAAAAUUACAUUAUGGUUAUAGACCCCAAAGUUCAGGACAGGUAAAAAAGGUAAAUAGAACCAUUAAGGAGACUUUAACUAAAUUGACACUUAAAACUGGCACUAGAGACUGGGUACAACUCCUACCUUUAGUCUUGUAUGGGGCCCAAAACACCCCAGGCCCACAUGGACUAACCCCAUUUAAAAUCCUGUACGGUGCCCCACCUCCCGCUAUUAACUUUUAUAAAACUAAAACCUAUGCCUCCCUCACCCCAUCUAUGCAGACUCAUUUGCAUGCUUUGCAAUUGGUCCAGAAUGAGGUCUGGAAGCCUCUAGCCGCAGCAUACAAAGAGGAACUUAAAACCCCCUUGCUGCCACAUCCCUUCAAGGUCGGAGAUACCGUCUGGGUACGCAGGCACCAGAGCAGGAACCUCGAACCGCGGUGGAAAGGACCCUACACUAUCCUGCUGACCACUCCUACUGCACUCAAAGUGGACGGCAUCGCUGCUUAGAUCCAUGCUUCCCACGUGAAGACUGCACAUCCACAGGAGUCCGCAGACACCUCUCCGGAUCCAGAAUGGAAGUUGCAACGUACCCAAAAUCCGCUAAAGAUAAGACUCACUCGCUGUUAAUUUUUCUUGCUUUGUGCUGUGUCUUCCCCAUAUCAGUUAACCCCAACCAAUCUGUGAGCCAGACAUGACAAGUAUUAUCGGGGACAAAAAAUAUAAUUUAAAAAAAAAAAAACAAAAACAAAACAGGAUCCCCCACUUUCUGCCGACUCUUGCAGGAGCCUGAAAUGGUACGGGGCAGGGCCAUGUACCGCAUUUGCCUGCAACCCCUUAAACAUUACCUUUACUCAGGCAGGCAAAGCAUCAAAAGAUUGGAUAAAAAAAAAAAAAACAAUGGGGCCUGAGAGUAUAUCAUAAAACUGCCUAUGACCCUGGGGUCCUAUUCAAAAUUAGAUUAAUAGUAAAUACCAACCCCCAACCAGUAUGCUGAGCCGUCAGCUAAAAUAAUGCUGGAAUCCGAGCAGAUGGGUCAAUGGAUAUAAGAUUAUAUCCAUGAUAUAAAAAAAAAAGGGGGGAAUGAAGGACCCCAAGGCCCCAGGCCCAACAUUAGGAAAACUAACCCCUGUGCCCUGAAGCUGCAAGAUGUUCCCUCACCCAACCCCCAUGUCAAAACCCCUCCAGCAGCAUGUAGCACCUCAGGUGUUGCACAAUGUUACCACAAGAUGUUCCAUGUAGAUAACCCUAACGGGCCCCCUAUCACAAGAUGUUCCUUUUAGACAGUCCUACUGGUUAAACUUGAGAACUAGGUUUAAAAACAGGAACUGAAAGGACAGAAUGCAAUUUUAUGGUUUUUCUGAGAACAAAAAGUUGAAAAACAAGUUUACCCCCCUAGGUGACUCAACUGCUGAAUUCAGAGGGACCAAUAGGAAGGCUGUUGCUGUGCUAAGCUAAGACCUAACCCACCUGUUCCAUAUAAAAGAUCUAUACCCCAAAGCCCGGUGUGCCAGCUCAUCGAAGCUCCGGCUGAGGUUUUGCUGUGCACCCGCAGGCGCCUGUGUGAGAAUAAACGCCUCCUGCUUUUUGCA
This is a long non-coding RNA of Marmota monax (woodchuck), 4239 nucleotides long. RefSeq lists it as uncharacterized. The record is from RefSeq and is a predicted model, not a curated record. The transcript has 2 exons. NCBI's taxonomy places the organism in Eukaryota, Metazoa, Chordata, Mammalia, Rodentia, Sciuridae.